This 160-nucleotide ribosomal RNA is filed under the name uncultured Nocardia sp. RNAcentral describes it as "partial 16S ribosomal RNA". It matches the Rfam family "Bacterial small subunit ribosomal RNA", at positions 69 to 233 of the family's 1533-position model. Lineage: Bacteria; Bacillati; Actinomycetota; Actinomycetes; Mycobacteriales; Nocardiaceae. The record is from RNAcentral.
GUAAGGCCCUUAGGGGUACACGAGCGGCGAACGGGUGAGUAACACGUGGGUGAUCUGCCUUGCACUCUGGGAUAAGCCUGGGAAACUGGGUCUAAUACCGGAUAUGAGCCUGAACUGCAUGGUUCGGGUUGGAAAGAUUUAUCGGUGCGAGAUGGGCCCG